Capra hircus (goat) is the source of this 380-nucleotide long non-coding RNA. RefSeq lists it as uncharacterized. The transcript is spliced from 3 exons. The record is from RefSeq and is a predicted model, not a curated record. Lineage: Eukaryota; Metazoa; Chordata; Mammalia; Artiodactyla; Bovidae.
CUGCCAAGAUUUUAAUGAAUUGCUUCAGAUAUUCUCUCUUGUGGUUUCCACUGUGCUUAGAAAUCUGAAGGAAAAAAAAAAAUCUACGUACAGAACACAUGGCAGUUGGACCUUAAAAAUCUGCUACACACACAAAUAUCUGUUAUACAUUUCUUUUUAAAUGGGUGUGGCCAGUGGGAACCUCCUUCACAUGUCCUGACAUGUUGCCAUCAUUCUUGGAGCACAUUAUUGCCUUCUGGCUCUAAGAGAUGUUUCCAGCUCAUCUUCUUCCUUCUCGUACCAGACAGGUGGACAGCAUGUGAUCACCAUAGACUCCCGCUACAGUGAAGGCAGAUGCCGAUUUGACCUUUAACAUGAUUGGUGCAACUAUGGCAUAUUAU